UACGGGGGGGACAAACGUUGUUCGGAUUUACUGGGCGUAAAGGGCGUGUAGGUGGACCUUUAAGUCGGUUGUGAAAUCCCGGGGCUUAACCCCGGGCCUGCAUUCGAUACUAUUGGUCUUGAGUGCGAGAGAGGAAAGCGGAAUUCCAGGUGUAGCGGUGGAAUGCGUAGAUAUCUGGAAGAACACCGGUGGCGAAGGCGGCUUUCUGGCUCGACACUGACACUGAGGCGCGAAGGCCGGGGGAGCAAACAGG
RNAcentral lists this unclassified non-coding RNA (253 nucleotides) under uncultured bacterium. Its description in RNAcentral is "contains 16S-23S intergenic spacer region". It matches the Rfam family "Bacterial small subunit ribosomal RNA", at positions 524 to 776 of the family's 1533-position model. The record is from RNAcentral.